Molecule: ribosomal RNA, 406 nt
Filed under: uncultured bacterium
Lineage: Bacteria
Description: partial 16S ribosomal RNA
Rfam family: Bacterial small subunit ribosomal RNA
Source: RNAcentral
AAUGAACGCUGGCGGCAUGCCUAACACAUGCAAGUCGAGCGAGCGGCGGACGGGUGCGUACUGUCUGGGAACCUGCCUGAUGGAUGGGGAUAACUACGGGAAACGGUAGCUAAUACGGCAUAACAUCAGCUGUGGCCAGAUGGGAUUAGCUAGUAGGUGGGGUAACGGCUAACCAAGGCGACGAUCCCUAGCUGGCCUGAGAGGAUGAUCAGCCACACUGGAACUGAGACACGGUCCAGACUCCUACGGGAGGCAGCAGUGGGGAAUAUUGGACAAUGGGCGAAAGCCUGAUCCAGCCACGCCGCGUGUGUGAAGAAGGCCUUCGGAUUGUAAAGCACUGUCGUCGGGGAGGCGGUACCCGCAGAAGAAGCACCGGCUAACUCCGUGCCAGCAGCCGCGGUAAUUC